This 500-nucleotide ribosomal RNA is filed under the name uncultured bacterium. RNAcentral describes it as "bacterial SSU rRNA". It matches the Rfam family "Bacterial small subunit ribosomal RNA", at positions 28 to 507 of the family's 1533-position model. The record is from RNAcentral.
GACGAACGCUGGCGGCGUGCCUAAUACAUGCAAGUCGAGCGGAAUGAUGAAGAAGCUUGCUUCUUCUGAUUUUAGCGGCGGACGGGUGAGUAACACGUGGGCAACCUACCUUGUAGAUUGGGAUAACUCCGGGAAACCGGGGCUAAUACCGAAUAAUCCAUUUUGCUUCAUGGCGAGAUGUUGAAAGACGGUUUCGGCUGUCACUACAAGAUGGGCCCGCGGCGCAUUAGCUAGUUGGUAGGGUAAUGGCCUACCAAGGCGACGAUGCGUAGCCGACCUGAGAGGGUGAUCGGCCACACUGGGACUGAGACACGGCCCAGACUCCUACGGGAGGCAGCAGUAGGGAAUCUUCCACAAUGGACGAAAGUCUGAUGGAGCAACGCCGCGUGAGUGAAGAAGGUUUUCGGAUCGUAAAACUCUGUUGUAAGGGAAGAACACGUACGAGAGUAACUGCUCGUACCUUGACGGUACCUUAUUAGUAAGCCACGGCUAACUACGUG